Molecule: ribosomal RNA, 253 nt
Filed under: uncultured bacterium
Lineage: Bacteria
Description: partial 16S ribosomal RNA
Rfam family: Bacterial small subunit ribosomal RNA
Source: RNAcentral
UACGAAGGGGGCUAGCGUUGCUCGGAUUGACUGGGCGUAAAGGGCGCGUAGGCGGUUCGUACAGUCAGACGUGAAAUUCCUGGGCUCAACCUGGGGGCUGCGUUUGAUACGUGCGGACUUGAGUGCGGAAGAGGGUCGUGGAAUUCCCAGUGUAGAGGUGAAAUUCGUAGAUAUCGGGAGGAACACCGGUGGCGAAGGCGGCGACCUGGGACAAUACUGACGCUGAGGUGCGAAAGCGUGGGGAGCAAACAGG